Long non-coding RNA from Phacochoerus africanus (Common warthog), 246 nucleotides. RefSeq lists it as uncharacterized. The transcript has 3 exons. NCBI's taxonomy places the organism in Eukaryota, Metazoa, Chordata, Mammalia, Artiodactyla, Suidae. The record is from RefSeq and is a predicted model, not a curated record.
UGGAGGCCUGGGAUCCUCAGAGCCUGGGAAGGGGAGGUGUCGGAGGGCCACCUCUUUCCCUAGGGAGGGCAGCCAUGAGACUGGAGACAAGUUUCUGCGCUUCUCUGGCCCCGGUUUUUGCAGCUGUGAAAUGGGUUUGUGGACCCUGCCUCCCAUUCUGGGGGAGUGAGACGGUGACACAUGCACCUGGUUCCACAUUAAAAAGGCACAAAAGAGGAGUUCCCGUCGUGGCACAGCAGUUAACGC